UACGUAGGGGGCAAGCGUUGUCCGGAUUUAUUGGGCGUAAAGAGCGUGUAGGCGGCCAUGCAGGUCCGUUGUGAAAACUCGAGGCUCAACCUCGAGACGCCGGUGGAAACCGCAUGGCUAGAGUCCGGAAGAGGAGAGUGGAAUUCCUGGUGUAGCGGUGAAAUGCGCAGAUAUCAGGAAGAACACCCGUGGCGAAGGCGGCUCUCUGGGACGUGACUGACGCUGAGACGCGAAAGCGUGGGGAGCGAACAGG
RNAcentral lists this ribosomal RNA (253 nucleotides) under uncultured bacterium. Its description in RNAcentral is "partial 16S ribosomal RNA". It matches the Rfam family "Bacterial small subunit ribosomal RNA", at positions 524 to 776 of the family's 1533-position model. The record is from RNAcentral.